This 657-nucleotide ribosomal RNA is filed under the name Anabaena sp. 797. Its description in RNAcentral is "bacterial SSU rRNA". It matches the Rfam family "Bacterial small subunit ribosomal RNA", at positions 43 to 698 of the family's 1533-position model. Lineage: Bacteria; Bacillati; Cyanobacteriota; Cyanophyceae; Nostocales; Nostocaceae. The record is from RNAcentral.
UGGGGAUGCUACCAUGCAAGUCGAACGGAAUCCUUAGGGAUUUAGUGGCGGACGGGUGAGUAACGCGUGAGAAUCUGGCUUCAGGUCUGGGACAACAGUUGGAAACGACUGCUAAUACCAGAUGUGCCGAGAGGUGAAAGGCUUGCUGCCUGAAGAUGAGCUUGCGUCUGAUUAGCUAGUUGGUGGGGUAAGAGCCUACCAAGGCGACGAUCAGUAGCUGGUCUGAGAGGAUGAUCAGCCACACUGGGACUGAGACACGGCCCAGACUCCUACGGGAGGCAGCAGUGGGGAAUUUUCCGCAAUGGGCGAAAGCCUGACGGAGCAAUACCGCGUGAGGGAGGAAGGCUCUUGGGUUGUAAACCUCUUUUCUCAGGGAAGAAAAAAAUGACGGUACCUGAGGAAUAAGCAUCGGCUAACUCCGUGCCAGCAACCGCGGUAAUACGGAGGAUGCAAGCGUUAUCCGGAAUGAUUGGGCGUAAAGGGUCCGCAGGUGGCUAUGUAAGUCUGCUGUUAAAUAGUCAUGCUCAACAUGAUCAAGGCAGUGGAAACUACAAGGCUAGAGUGCGUUCGGGGCAGAGGGAAUUCCUGGUGUAGCGGUGAUAUUGCGUAGAAGAAGUAGCUGGAAUAAGUAGUGUAGCGGUGAAAUGCGUAGAAAUA